This 253-nucleotide ribosomal RNA is filed under the name uncultured bacterium. Its description in RNAcentral is "partial 16S ribosomal RNA". It matches the Rfam family "Bacterial small subunit ribosomal RNA", at positions 524 to 776 of the family's 1533-position model. The record is from RNAcentral.
UACGUAGGUCACAAACGUUGUGCGAAAUUACUGGGCGUAAAGGGUCCGUAGGCGGUCUGGUAAGUGGAAGGUGAAAUCCUACGGCUCAACCGUAGAAUUGCCUUCCAAACUGCUGGACUUGAGGCAGGGAAAGGUCGGCGGAAUUCCCUGUGUAGCGGUGAAAUGCGUAGAUAUCGGGAAGAACACCAGUGGCGAAGGCGGCCGACUGGAACUGUCCUGACGCUGAUGGACGAAAGCGAGGGGAGCAAACCGG